GAUUUGGCUCAUUGCGAUGGAUGAUACACUGUUCCCAUGUCGAACAAGAAGUUAGGUCCCAUCUACGGCGGAAUACUUGGGGGUUGCGCCCUGGGGAAUAUGCGGGUGGCCAAGUUU
This 117-nucleotide ribosomal RNA is filed under the name Lactococcus cremoris. Lineage: Bacteria; Bacillati; Bacillota; Bacilli; Lactobacillales; Streptococcaceae. The record is from RNAcentral.